AGGAUAAUAGUUAAUAAUAACAUUUGACUUGCAUUCAAAAAGAACUGAUAACAGUUUAUCUU
This 62-nucleotide transfer RNA is filed under the name Anaplecta omei. Its description in RNAcentral is "tRNA-Ala". Lineage: Eukaryota; Metazoa; Arthropoda; Insecta; Blattodea; Anaplectidae. The record is from RNAcentral.